UUACGGUCAUAUCACAUUGAAACAUUGGUUCCGUACGCUCAGCGAAGUUAAGCAACAUUGAGUCUGGUCAGUACAUAGAUGGGUGACCGCUUGAGAAUACCAGGUGCUGUAA
RNAcentral lists this ribosomal RNA (112 nucleotides) under Acanthosepion pharaonis. The record is from RNAcentral. Lineage: Eukaryota; Metazoa; Mollusca; Cephalopoda; Sepiida; Sepiidae.